AAUCCCAACCGUUGACUUCAUCAGCGAGAUCAAUCCGACCGCAAUCGGACUCUUAGAGUUUUCUCCAAAUAUCUCUCCGGCGAAAGUACUGUACAUCGAAACCGAACACUUUACCCAGGAAUUCGGCUUCUGGAUUGGGCGCCGGUAUCCUGAUCGGAAGUCGCGCGUCCGCGGUGCAGGAGGUUCGAGAUCCGCGUUUUGCACGGGAGGAGAACCGAAUAUGCGUGAACGAACCCAACACUCGCGGAGGGGGCGGCAAUUUCCAACCCGGAUGCCGGCGCAGGUAGCAAUGUUAUGGGCGACAUAACCAGAGUAGGAGAAGGUAACACGAAUAGCCAUAUCAGCAA
Molecule: unclassified non-coding RNA, 347 nt
Filed under: Hevea brasiliensis (rubber tree)
Lineage: Eukaryota; Viridiplantae; Streptophyta; Magnoliopsida; Malpighiales; Euphorbiaceae
Source: RNAcentral